This 608-nucleotide ribosomal RNA is filed under the name uncultured bacterium. Its description in RNAcentral is "bacterial SSU rRNA". The stretch from base 1 to 530 matches the Rfam family "Bacterial small subunit ribosomal RNA", at positions 338 to 873 of the family's 1533-position model. The record is from RNAcentral.
CCUACGGGAGGCAGCAGUGAGGAAUAUUGGACAAUGGGCGCAAGCCUGAUCCAGCCAUGCCGCGUGCAGGAAGAAGCAUCUAUGGUGUGUAAACUGCUUUUGUACAGGAAGAAACACUCCCUCGUGAGGGAGCUUGACGGUACUGUAAGAAUAAGGACCGGCUAACUCCGUGCCAGCAGCCGCGGUAAUACGGAGGGUCCGAGCGUUAUCCGGAAUCAUUGGGUUUAAAGGUCCGUAGGCGGUUUAAUAAGUCAGUGGUGAAAUCUGGUCGCUCAACGAUCAAACGGCCAUUGAUACUGUUAGACUUGAAUUAUAAGGAAGUAACUAGAAUAUGUAGUGUAGCGGUGAAAUGCUUAGAUAUUACAUGGAAUACCAACUGCGAAGGCAGGUUACUACUUAUGGAUUGACGCUGAUGGACGAAAGCGUGGGGAGCGAACAGGAUUAGAUACCCUGGUAGUCCACGCCGUAAACGAUGGAUACUAGCUGUUCGGAGCAAUCUGAGUGNGUAGAGAAGUAGAUAGUAUACCACCGUAGGAGUACGUCGCGAGAAGAGAACGACGAAGAAGUAGACGCGUGAGACGAGACGACGACGACGACGAGGGAGGAGG